This 1144-nucleotide long non-coding RNA is filed under the name Mytilus galloprovincialis (Mediterranean mussel). The record is from RNAcentral. Lineage: Eukaryota; Metazoa; Mollusca; Bivalvia; Mytilida; Mytilidae.
UCCCAUAAGUUCAGCAUUAGGUUGGAAGGUGUAUUGUUUGUGUUCUGAUACAAGAAUAUGGAGAAGAAAUAUUAUUAUAGACAAUGGUGGCAACAGGAUUCAGAUACUGGGAUGUUAUGUUAAACUGCCAGCUCCAGUCCAGGUUAGUGAUUUAGGAACUUUAUAUUGUAGUCAUAGGCAUGCAUUUUCAAAUAGUUCCUGCAAAGUUUUUGUAUUUUACAACUGCUAUCCACCUCAGAAUAAAGGACAAGGUUUUAACAAUAAACAACUAGAGGUCACUUAACGUCCUUCAACAAUGGGCAAAACCUAUAUCCUGUCUAAUAGUAAUUUUUGAAUUGCCCUCAAUUUACAUAUGUACAACAAUUCAAAUGGGAAAACCAACAGCCUCAUUUAUGCUAAAAACUAUUAAAAAAAUAAAUAUGGUAGACGACAACCAAUGAGAUCCACUGAAAUAUAGACUCCUGACUUUAGACAGACACAUACAUGUAAAAAAUAUUUUGAUGAUAUCAUAUGUAUCUUUUGAAGUCCACAAAGUAGUUUUUAUUUCAAAAGCAUAAUUUAGUGUUACUAUCCAGGAUAGAAAAAAUUGUAGGCCAGACACAGGUUUUAUCUCCCAAAGACACAUCAGCAUGAUCACUAUCAGUGAUGUUUGAACAAAAAAGGUUAAAAAGCCAAGAGCAUUCAAGUGAUUUCAUGUAGUAUAAUUGCAUCAUAGUUUGCUUUUGGUUUUGAUUUUGUUCCCUUAAUCAUAAAAAAGUUAUGCAUCGACAAAAUAUAACUAAAGAAGAAAAACAACUUUUUCAGAACAAUUAUACAAUGAGAGGUCAAUUCAGCAACACCAAAAAAAACUAUAUUUCAUUCAUGGUAUAAAGCAGUUUAAAACAGAGAAAGAAAAAAUACAAGUUUAAAACUACCAAUUUUCAAUAAAUUAAUUAAUAUUCAGUUUCAUAUAUAUGCAUGUACACAUCUUCUUAUAUCUGUAUAUAUAUCCUAUCUAUAAUGUAGGUGGUUAGUAAGAUCUUCAAGGAUGUAACUCAAUUUGUUGAAUGGCGUCCUGGAGUUGAGUCUACAAGUCCCUGUGUAAAUGGCUCAUCCAAAGAGUAUAGGAACGUGUCACAUGACCUUAUCAACAUUGUUACAGCCA